UGAGGAGAUUCAUCGUCAGCGUAUNCAGUAUUGAUGCAGGCUAUGAUGUGAUAAUAGAAUCCUCGUGGAAAGGSGUAAKGAAAGUAWAGAUKKUYUUAAGACAAUUGAGGGAAGAUGGGUUGCGUUACGAUGUAAUCCCGCAUUCCCGGGACGUUCCAUUCUCAU
RNAcentral lists this ribosomal RNA (165 nucleotides) under Parapanteles tessares. RNAcentral's name for it is "partial 28S ribosomal RNA". Lineage: Eukaryota; Metazoa; Arthropoda; Insecta; Hymenoptera; Braconidae. The record is from RNAcentral.